GGUUCCAUGGUGUAAUGGUAAGCACUCCAGCUUCUGAAUCCAGUGAUCUGAGUUCAAAUCUCAGUGGAACCU
RNAcentral lists this transfer RNA (72 nucleotides) under Ameiurus melas (black bullhead). It matches the Rfam family "tRNA". From Rfam's summary of the family: Transfer RNA (tRNA) molecules are approximately 80 nucleotides in length. Their secondary structure includes four short double-helical elements and three loops (D, anti-codon, and T loops). Further hydrogen bonds mediate the characteristic L-shaped molecular structure. tRNAs have two regions of fundamental functional importance: the anti-codon, which is responsible for specific mRNA codon recognition, and the 3' end, to which the tRNAs corresponding amino acid is attached (by aminoacyl-tRNA synthetases). tRNAs cope with the degeneracy of the genetic code in two manners: having more than one tRNA (with a specific anti-codon) for a particular amino acid; and 'wobble' base-pairing, i.e. permitting non-standard base-pairing at the 3rd anti-codon position. The record is from Rfam by way of RNAcentral. Lineage: Eukaryota; Metazoa; Chordata; Actinopteri; Siluriformes; Ictaluridae.